Molecule: long non-coding RNA, 401 nt
Organism: Rhincodon typus (whale shark)
Lineage: Eukaryota; Metazoa; Chordata; Chondrichthyes; Orectolobiformes; Rhincodontidae
Exons: 3
Source: RefSeq, a predicted model, not a curated record
CAGCUCAUGAGCUCUCCGACAGGGGCUAUACUGAGUGUGCGUGGCCGGGAGCGUCCUAACGUAGCCAUUUAAAGUUAAAGGGAUGUGAUUGGUGGGAGUGAGAGCAAGCACGGCAAGCACGGAGAGGGAGCUUUGUAAAUAUAGACCAGCCAGGGCUUAUCCACAUUGACGAGAUUGAUUCAUGUGGAAUUUUCUCUUCUUCGCAAAGAAAAUUGGGACAACAGGAUGACCAGAGAAAGACCCAAGAGGAAUAUAAUUCACAAAAGAUUAGACCUCCAUCCUGUUUUUUACCUACAUCAUUGGUGCCUUUAUGCACUAUGACAGCUGGCUGUUCACCCUCCCCCUUCAGAAUGUCCUGCAGUCGAUCCGAGACAUCCCUGACCUGUGCACCUGGGAGGCAA